Molecule: long non-coding RNA, 1372 nt
Filed under: Equus caballus (horse)
Lineage: Eukaryota; Metazoa; Chordata; Mammalia; Perissodactyla; Equidae
Description: lncRNA (ENSECAG00000055155.1)
Source: RNAcentral
CGGAGGCCACAGCAGCUCAGGAAUGCUCUGCAUUUUUCUCAUUUCAGUAAAGUACAAAGGGCACUUCUGAAGGAGGAAGCCAAGAAAUCUCACCCUUUCAGAUUCACCCACUAAUUUCCCUUGGUUCCCAGUGGAGACAGCCUUGAGUGAGCCUGUGAGAAACCAGCAGGACCAGAAGGAUAGCGCCACUCAGCCACCCUGGGAGAAUGAGAUCUCACAGCCACACGUGGAGGAAGCGUUUUAAGGCUCCUGAUUACAGAACUUACGAGAAAGGUGCUAUUUUCACCGUCCAGCACACGCAGGAUGGAAGAACAUCUGAUGUGGAUUCAGAAAAUCUGGAUUUCUUUCCCCUGAGUCCUUCAUUCACUCUCCACGUGACCUUCAGUGAGUUAUUCGAGCUCAGUUUAGUAAAAUGGGACAAGGCAGCUUUCCUGUUCACUCACAGGGCUGCUGGGAAGGUGGAAGAUGAGAGGCGAGCGAAAGCAGCUAGACGGGGCGUCAGGAGAUGCGAUCACCAGCCACCCCGAACCAGACCAAGCCUCACCACACAGGGGAGCUACGCCUGUGACCUUUGCCUUAUUUUUAAUGCUGACAUCUCUCCAGGAGAGACAGCUCUGCUGUCGAUGUCUUGAAAUUCUUAAUACUUUCUGAACUGGGAACACUGCAUCUUCAUAUUACACUGGGCUCUGCCAAUUCUGUAGCCAGUCCUGGCUGCCGCCCCUCUUCAGCCUGGAUCCUGCAUAUCGAUUUUGUGGUGGACUCUGCAAGGAUGAGAGGUGUGUCACAGGAAAUGACCUUGCGGUGGCAGAAGAAGGUAACAGGGGAACAACCAGGGCUGUAGCAAGCAGAUUUGGGGCACAGAGAGGGAGUCCCUCUCCAGCCCUGCAUCCUUCCUUCCAAAUUUUGGGAAAGGCAGGGACUUGUCUCAGGAUUUGCAAAAGGCAAAGGGGACACUGCACUCUGGUGUUCUGCGACACAGCUGGAUGGGUGGCCACGUUUCUGAAAUGCAACAUUUCUGAGAUGAUCCUGUAAACACGAUGAUUGCCGGUUGCUCUCAAAAUGCAACAGUGUCCACUCUAUCUUCGCCUUUCCCUCUGUCAGCGCUAUCCUGAGCAUGGCCCAGGAGCGGAGGCGGAGGAGGAGUGAGCAGUUCCGGGGGCUGCAGACUGGAGGCGCCCUCCGCCAGCCCAGGGCUCUGGCCGUGAGCCUGGGCAGGCCCUCCCCGUGGGCACCGUCCCUUCCUGGAGACUGAGGGUGCCGGGAAAGAUGGCUGCUGUUCUUGUACCUGACUCAUUUCCUUAACGCAGUCCUUGAAAUCACUGUUUGUCAUUCAAGUUUGAGAAAAAGGAGCUGGUAAAUAUCUUAUUAAUUU